GCAGAGCAUCCUACGGGAGGCAGCAGUGGGGAAUAUUGCACAAUGGGCGCAAGCCUGAUGCAGCCAUGCCGCGUGUAUGAAGAAGGCCUUCGGGUUGUAAAGUACUUUCAGCAGUGAGGAAGGUGGGUAUGUUAAUAGCAUACUCAUUUGACGUUAGCUGCAGAAGAAGCACCGGCUAACUCCGUGCCAGCAGCCGCGGUAAUACGGAGGGUGCGAGCGUUAAUCGGAAUUACUGGGCGUAAAGCGCAUGCAGGUGGUUUGUUAAGUCAGAUGUGAAAGCCCCGGGGCUCAACCUCGGAAUUGCAUUUGAAACUGGCAAACUAGAGUACUGUAGAGGGGGUAGAAUUUCAGGUGUAGCGGUGAAAUGCGUAGAGAUCUGAAGGAAUACCGGUGGCGAAGGCGGCCCCCUGGACAGAUACUGACACUCAGAUGCGAAAGCGUGGGGAGCAAACAGGAUUAGAUACCCCUCGUAG
Molecule: ribosomal RNA, 473 nt
Filed under: uncultured bacterium
Lineage: Bacteria
Description: bacterial SSU rRNA
Rfam family: Bacterial small subunit ribosomal RNA
Source: RNAcentral